RNAcentral lists this ribosomal RNA (538 nucleotides) under Candidozyma auris. RNAcentral describes it as "[Candida] auris partial small subunit ribosomal RNA". It matches the Rfam family "Eukaryotic small subunit ribosomal RNA", at positions 481 to 1028 of the family's 1831-position model. Lineage: Eukaryota; Fungi; Ascomycota; Pichiomycetes; Serinales; Metschnikowiaceae. The record is from RNAcentral.
UUCCGCCCCCCCCCCCCCCCCCCAUCCCUCCCCUCCCGCCUGGCCCCCCCGCCCACCAGCCCUUGCCCUCCAAGGUAUAUUGGAGGGCAAGUCUGGUGCCAGCAGCCGCGGUAAUUCCAGCUCCAAGAGCGUAUAUUAAAGUUGUUGCAGUUAAAAAGCUCGUAGUUGAACCUUGGGUUUUGGAGGGAGGUCCACCUCACGGUGAGUACUUCCAUAUCCAAGACCUUUCCUCUGCUUCCUCGCAAGAGGCAGCAGAAUAUUACUUUGAGUAAAUGAGAGUGUUCAAAGCAGGCGCACGCUUGAAUCUGUUAGCAUGGAAUAAUAGAAUAGGACGCAUGGUUCUAUUUUGUUGGUUUCUAGGACCAUCGUAAUGAUUAAUAGGGACGGUCGGGGGCAUCAGUAUUCAGUUGUCAGAGGUGAAAUUCUUGGAUUUACUGAAGACUAACUACUGCGAAAGCAUUUGCCAAGGACGUUUUCAUUAAUCAAGAACGAAAGUUAGGGGAUCGAAGAUGAUCAGAUACGGUGCGAAAUAUUCCGG